Cucurbita maxima (winter squash) is the source of this 453-nucleotide long non-coding RNA. RefSeq lists it as uncharacterized. The record is from RefSeq and is a predicted model, not a curated record. The transcript is spliced from 2 exons. NCBI's taxonomy places the organism in Eukaryota, Viridiplantae, Streptophyta, Magnoliopsida, Cucurbitales, Cucurbitaceae.
GAAGCAAACGGGUGCAUGUCGCCUGUAUGGUCAGUCGUUGAGGCUGUUCUCGUGAAGAAUGACAAGAUUUGCCGGCUACAAAAGAUAUGAAGAUCAGCAGCUGUUUAUUCAAAAGCGUUGAGCUGAAAAGUUGUUUGGAGGAUUCGAUCAAAGAUGGUUCCUGGAGUAAAAUUAUGGCAACUGUUAAUUCUCGACGUCUUUGGCUUUACGAGUAUGUCUUUACGAGGUAAGGUUAUAUCAAGCGUAGAAAUUUGUAGUGAUAAAUAUGGGUGCCAAUGCUGUCUGGUUAAGAGUCCUCUAUAAGAAUGUAGUUAAAAGCUUGGAAAAACUGUGAUAUGCCUUGAGCAAGUGACACCCACUGAAAGACACGGUUCCUUUUGAUACUUUUUUGAGUCUUUGUAGUAUACCAUCAUAAUGAGAGUGAAGUUUGACUAUUCCCAUUUGGUAUACGUU